Molecule: ribosomal RNA, 464 nt
Filed under: uncultured Caryophanaceae bacterium
Lineage: Bacteria; Bacillati; Bacillota; Bacilli; Caryophanales; Caryophanaceae
Description: bacterial SSU rRNA
Rfam family: Bacterial small subunit ribosomal RNA
Source: RNAcentral
ACGGGGCCGCACAAGCGGUGGAGCAUGUGGUUAAUUCGAAGCAACGCGAAGAACCUUACCAGGUCUUGACAUCCGAUGCUAUUUCUAGAGAUAGAAAGUUACUUCGGUACAUCGGUGACAGGUGGUGCAUGGUUGUCGUCAGCUCGUGUCGUGAGAUGUUGGGUUAAGUCCCGCAACGAGCGCAACCCCUAUUGUUAGUUGCCAUCAUUCAGUUGGGCACUCUAGCGAGACUGCCGGUAAUAAACCGGAGGAAGGUGGGGAUGACGUCAAAUCAUCAUGCCCCUUAUGACCUGGGCUACACACGUGCUACAAUGGGCGGUACAAAGGGUCGCGAACCCGCGAGGGGGAGCCAAUCCCAAAAAGCCGCUCUCAGUUCGGAUUGCAGGCUGCAACUCGCCUGCAUGAAGCCGGAAUCGCUAGUAAUCGCGGAUCAGCAUGGCGCGGUGAAUACGUUCCCGGGCCUU